Molecule: ribosomal RNA, 439 nt
Filed under: uncultured bacterium
Lineage: Bacteria
Description: partial 16S ribosomal RNA
Rfam family: Bacterial small subunit ribosomal RNA
Source: RNAcentral
CCUACGGGGUGCAGCAGUGGGGGAUAUUGCACAAUGGGGGGAACCCUGAUGCAGCGACGCCGCGUGGGUGAAGGAGCGUUUCGGCGCGUAAAGCCCUAUCGGCAGGGAAGAAGAUGACGGUACCUGACCAAGAAGCCCCGGCUAACUACGUGCCAGCAGCCGCGGUAAUACGUAGGGGGCAAGCGUUAUCCGGAUUUAUUGGGGUAAAAGGGUGCGGAGGGGGUCUGUUAAGUAAGCGGGAAAAGCCCGGGGCCAAACCCCGGUCCGCCGUUGAAACUGGCAGUCUCGAGUUGGAGAGAGGUAUGCGGAAUGCGCGGUGUAGCGGUGAAAUGCAUAGAUAUCGCGCAGAACUCCGAUUGCGAAGGCAGCAUGCCGGCUCCACACUGACGCUGAGGCACGAAAGCGUGGGUAUCGAACAGGAUUAGAUACCCUUGUAGUC